UACGGAGGGAGCUAGCGUUGUUCGGAAUUACUGGGCGUAAAGCGCGCGUAGGCGGACUUUCAAGUCAGGGGUGAAAUCCCGAGGCUCAACCUCGGAACUGCCUUUGAUACUGAUCGUCUUGAGUCCGAGAGAGGUGAGUGGAAUUCCUAGUGUAGAGGUGAAAUUCGUAGAUAUUAGGAAGAACACCAGUGGCGAAGGCGGCUCACUGGCUCGGUACUGACGCUGAGGCGCGAAAGCGUGGGGAGCAAACAGGAUUAGAUACCCCCGUA
RNAcentral lists this ribosomal RNA (269 nucleotides) under uncultured prokaryote. RNAcentral's name for it is "partial 16S ribosomal RNA". It matches the Rfam family "Bacterial small subunit ribosomal RNA", at positions 524 to 792 of the family's 1533-position model. The record is from RNAcentral.